AGUGAACGCUGGCGGUAGGCCUAACACAUGCAAGUCGAACGGCAGCACAGUAAGAGCUUGCUCUUACGGGUGGCGAGUGGCGGACGGGUGAGGAAUACAUCGGGAUCUACUUUUUCGUGGGGGAUAACGUAGGGAAACUUACGCUAAUACCGCAUACGACCUACGGGUGAAAGCAGGGGAUCUUCGGACCUUGCGCGAUUGAAUGAGCCGAUGUCGGAUUAGCUAGUUGGCGGGGUAAAGGCCCACCAAGGCGACGAUCCGUAGCUGGUCUGAGAGGAUGAUCAGCCACACUGGAACUGAGACACGGUCCAGACUCCUACGGGAGGCAGCAGUGGGGAAUAUUGGACAAUGGGCGCAAGCCUGAUCCAGCCAUACCGCGUGGGUGAAGAAGGCCUUCGGGUUGUAAAGCCCUUUUGUUGGGAAAGAAAAGCAGCAGGUUAAUACCCCGCUGUUCUGACGGUACCCAAAGAAUAAGCACCGGCUAACUUCGU
RNAcentral lists this ribosomal RNA (491 nucleotides) under uncultured bacterium. RNAcentral describes it as "partial 16S ribosomal RNA". It matches the Rfam family "Bacterial small subunit ribosomal RNA", at positions 29 to 506 of the family's 1533-position model. The record is from RNAcentral.